Molecule: ribosomal RNA, 468 nt
Filed under: uncultured bacterium
Lineage: Bacteria
Description: partial 16S ribosomal RNA
Rfam family: Bacterial small subunit ribosomal RNA
Source: RNAcentral
GACGAACGCUGGCGGCGUGCUUAACACAUGCAAGUCGAACGGAAAGGCCCUGCUUUUUGGGGUUCUUCAGUGGCCAACGGGGUGGUUAACCCGGAGUUAACUUCCCCUGGCCUUUGGGUUACUUCCAGGAAACUGGGCUUAUACCCGGUAGGAGCCCCCGGCUGCAGGGGGGGGGUGGGAAAUUUUCGGCGGUUGGGGAUGGACUCGCGGCUUAUCAGCUUGUUGGUGGGGUAGUGGCUUACCAAGGCUUUGACGGGUAGCCGGCCUGAGAGGGUGACCGGCCACAUUGGGACUGAGAUACGGCCCAGACUCCUACGGGAGGCAGCAGUGGGGAAUAUUGCACAAUGGGCGGAAGCCUGAUGCAGCAACGCCGCGUGCGGGAUGACGGCCUUCGGGUUGUAAACCGCUUUCGCCUGUGACGAAGCGUGAGUGACGGUAAUGGGUAAAGAAGCACCGGCUAACUACGUG